Molecule: long non-coding RNA, 1103 nt
Filed under: Fragaria vesca (wild strawberry)
Lineage: Eukaryota; Viridiplantae; Streptophyta; Magnoliopsida; Rosales; Rosaceae
Description: long non-coding RNA (FVES_LNC004020)
Source: RNAcentral
UUUUUUUUUUUUUUUUAACUUUUUAUUAAAUAACUCACACGCCCUACAUAUGUCAAUGAGAUUUGAACCCAUAACGUCAAAGUUGUUAGUUAACCACCUUAACCAACCACGUCACGGCUCACCGACAAACGUACUAUCUUGAUUGAACCAUUGAAUAUACAUAGGAUAUAUGAAAAAUUGGAGAAAUUAUAAUGAAAAUUUCCGGGCAAUAAAUGUGUCUUUUAGUAAUUUAGGAUACCUACAAAAUUUAAUUUCCAGUGCAAGAAAAAAGAGAUGUGUAUCUAAUAAUUUGUAAUGUUGGAAUAAAAUUUGUCAAACAGUAAACACUAGAAUUUGUGCCCGUGCCUGGUGUAGGCGCGGUUGAUUAGGUUAGCGACGAUGGAGUGGGAUAUUGAUGAUGAUGAUAGUGUAGAUAUAGAGAUAGUUGCUUCGAACAGUUUAGAAUGCUAUUAAUUUCUACGGCAUAGUGCAUAAGAUAUUUAGCAUAAUAUCAUACUCGGUCUAGUCAAUCACCCGCGCCUUGCUGCGGGCUAGGAAUAUCUAAGAAUAUCUGCUGCAAUCGUUGGUUUGAUUCACUCUAUUUUAGGGUAAUCCAAAUGGAAGAAGUAACAGAAGUACGUGUUAUAUCAUCCCUUGUUUGUAACUCUUAUAAUGAUGCAUUUGUUUAACUCCGAGUAUCAUGAACACAUAUGAAAAGGAGUGUGUUAUAUCCAUUCAUUAUAUUACAUAGGAAAACAUUGGCAAAGAAUAACAAACAAAUAAAAGUCAGGCAAUGAUCGCUUCUUGUUCCACUUCCACUUGAACUCGUCUGGUUUGUCUGUUAUCUUUUCUUCUGUGCUGCGAAGAGGACUUGUCGUUGGUGUUCCACCUUUUUCACUUCCACUUCAACUGCGUCUAAUUCACAUGUUCUCUUCUCUUCUCUUUUCUUCUCCUGGUUGACCACGCUUAUGCAAUAGUUGUAGCCUUUCAGUUUUCUAGCUUUAAAGACUCCAGCAAGUGGUGAAUCAUAUAUUCUGUACUAUAUUGUGUAGCAUCCAGGUCCUGAUUAGUCUCCCUGCACCAUUGUAAUCCAAUGAACGACUGGUCAGAUUGGUUUUUUUUUU